UCUCCGUUCGUUUAACGGCAGGACACCCGACUCUGAAUCGGAAAAUCGAGGUUCGAAUCCUCGACGGAGAGCCA
This 74-nucleotide transfer RNA is filed under the name Roseibium sp. RKSG952. RNAcentral's name for it is "tRNA-Gln". It matches the Rfam family "tRNA". From Rfam's summary of the family: Transfer RNA (tRNA) molecules are approximately 80 nucleotides in length. Their secondary structure includes four short double-helical elements and three loops (D, anti-codon, and T loops). The record is from RNAcentral. Lineage: Bacteria; Pseudomonadati; Pseudomonadota; Alphaproteobacteria; Hyphomicrobiales; Stappiaceae.